This is a non-coding RNA of Trichonephila clavipes, 72 nucleotides long. Lineage: Eukaryota; Metazoa; Arthropoda; Arachnida; Araneae; Nephilidae. The record is from the annotation of a GenBank genome assembly.
GAGGGUAUAGCUCAGUGGUAAAGCAUUCGACUGCAGAUCGAGGGGUCCCCGAUUCAAUCCCGGGAGUCCUCU